This 76-nucleotide transfer RNA is filed under the name Staphylococcus aureus. Its description in RNAcentral is "tRNA-Asp". It matches the Rfam family "tRNA". From Rfam's summary of the family: Transfer RNA (tRNA) molecules are approximately 80 nucleotides in length. The record is from RNAcentral. Lineage: Bacteria; Bacillati; Bacillota; Bacilli; Caryophanales; Staphylococcaceae.
GUUUUUGUAGUGUAGCGGUUAACACGCCUGCCUGUCACGCAGGAGAUCGCGGGUUCGAUUCCCGUCGAGACCGCCA